Molecule: small RNA, 629 nt
Filed under: Arabidopsis thaliana (thale cress)
Lineage: Eukaryota; Viridiplantae; Streptophyta; Magnoliopsida; Brassicales; Brassicaceae
Description: ATSL062470
Source: RNAcentral
AUAAGCGUAUUAUAAGUCACUACAUCUGGAAAACAAUGCUUGCUAACCAUGAACUCAAACAUCUGCUUGGCCUCGUCUAGACGAUCGUGCAUACAAAACCCGUUGAUCAAUGAACUGUAUGUGACAAUACUAGGAUCUAUGGACCUUUUGACCAUCUCGUCGUACAAUUUCUCAGCCUCUACAAGCUUGCCCUCCUUCACAAACGCAUCGAUCAAUGCGCUGAAAGUGAAUACAUCAGGGUUGAUUUUCCUCUCAAUCAUAUCACUAAGGAGGCGAGAGGCAUCACUCCAUCUUCCGUAAUUACAAAGGCAACUUAUGAGGGAGCUGUAGGUAACAACAUUUGGUCUAAUGCCUUUUGUUUCCAUUUCUUUAAAUAGGUUGAGCGCAUCAUCCAUAUGUUUGUAUUUGCAAAGACCAUCAAUGAUUGUGUUGUAGAUCAAAACACCAGGUUCUAAUUUCCCUUGUUCCAUCUUGUUGAGCAGAUUAAAAGCCAAAUCAGUAUCACCUCUCUUACAUAAUCCAUUUACUACCACUCCAUAAGUAACCAGAUCUGGUUGACAACCUUUUGCAACCAUUCGAUCAAUUAAAGCCAUUGCUUCUGAAGCUUUGUUGUGAAGAAAAAGUCCAUG